UGGGACCUCUUCAUUCCUUUUCCUCACUCAGCUCUGCCUGUCCCAAGGCCAAGUUAGAGAAACAGCAUCUUUAUUCUUAUCCAAAUCCUUCACUUUGAUUUGAUCACUUCACACCACAGUUCUUUCUAACUUGAAUGUCUCCAAGAUGAUAGACCUCUGAGAAUUAAAGUUCAAAGUGAAUGGAUAAUCUCAGCAGAAAAAGUUGAGAAUAAACUGAAAAUGAGAUUGUCCCAUCUACAAUGCCUCAGCAGUCUCUUGUUUCUAUGGCACUGAUAAGGAUGGUCCUUGUGGAUGAAAAAAAAAAAGAAUGGGAAAUAUAGCAGUGACCACUGAUGGAGCAUCUGCUGCGUGUGUCAGCUGUUGCACUAAGUUCCUUCUAAACCUUGUCUUAACUGAAAUCUCACAGCAAUCCUGUAAGAUGCCUCCUGUUACCUCUGAUUUGAAAAUUAAGAAACUGAGACUCAAAGAAGUAAAAUCGAUUGCUGAAAAAUCACAGAAUUGUUUGACUGCAAACCCAUGUGUGUUCUGCAACUACAGCACAUCAGCCUAAUUUUGUGCCUGUGCAAACACUGAGGAGGUGUCAGGGGUGCCCUGCUUUCAAAAUACAUUGUAAUUGCAGUGGGCAAGUCUAAAUUACUGUUCGGAACACUUACUCUUUCAGUGGACAUUGGCCAAGAGUCAAGAAUUGAUCAACCUUCACUGAAUGUGCUUGCGGAGCCCUCCUAAUGUGGAGCCCAGGGAGGAAUUUAUGUAGGGGCAUAGCCUGGAGCGCCCCCUCCUCACACCAGCAUCAAGAAGGGCAGGUUCCCCUCAGGGUUCUGGAGAGAGAUCAACUGCCUGAUGCUCAAAGAAGAGAAAAGAAGAAACCAUUGACAUUUGCUGUCCAGUUAUCAGAAGUCAGGCCAUGCAUGAAUGCUUCACCUGUAUUAUUCAACUUCUGUCUCACAAUAACCAGAUAUAUAAGCUGCCAGAGCACAUUUCGAGAUUACAAAAAAAACAGAACAAACAAAAACUGUAAAGGUCUUGAAAAGACUCAUCUUCCGAGUAACAACCAGCUGAAGAAAAAUCACCAAGUGACAGACAGUAGACAGAGGUAA
This 1097-nucleotide long non-coding RNA is filed under the name Bos grunniens (domestic yak). Its description in RNAcentral is "lncRNA (ENSBGRG00000022115.1)". The record is from RNAcentral. Lineage: Eukaryota; Metazoa; Chordata; Mammalia; Artiodactyla; Bovidae.